This 418-nucleotide ribosomal RNA is filed under the name uncultured bacterium. RNAcentral's name for it is "bacterial SSU rRNA". It matches the Rfam family "Bacterial small subunit ribosomal RNA", at positions 29 to 447 of the family's 1533-position model. The record is from RNAcentral.
AUUGAACGCUGGCGGCGUGCUUAACACAUGCAAGUCGUGCGGUAACAGGCGUAGCAAUACGUGCUGACGAGCGGCGAACGGGUGCGUAAUACAUGGGAAUCUGCCCUUUAGUGGGGAAUAACCCGGCGAAAGCCGGGCUAAUGCCGCAUAAGAUCUUCGGAUGAAAGCGGGGGAUCGUAAGACCUCGCGCUGAUGGAUGAGCCCAUGUCGGAUUAGCUAGNGGUGAGGUAACGGCUCACCAAGGCGACGAUCCGUAGCUGGUCUGAGAGGACGGCCAGCCACACUGGGACUGAGACACGGCCCAGACUCCUACGGGAGGCAGCAGUGGGGAAUAUUGGACAAUGGGCGAAAGCCUGAUCCAGCGACGCCGCGUGUGUGAAGAAGGCCUGCGGGUUGUAAAGCACUUUCGAUGGGAACG